GAUUGGCCCUCUCGGAGAAAGGGGCGUGGCCCCUCCUUACUAUGCGGUGCGAGGACCCAACAACAUUCCAGUCGCUGCGGCCACGCCCCCGGGCCACUCCCCCCUCGCCCGGCUGCAGCCUCCCAGUAACCUCGGCCACACCCCCUUCCCAACUACUUAAAAGGACACUCCAAAGCUCACGUUUCCCUACUCUGUGCUGUGUAUUCACGUCUGUCCGUCUCCUCUCAGGCCUCAGAUACCCUCUCUUGGCUAUGGCUCCUGGACUUUCAAGGCUGUAGGUGAGGGGCGCGCGCGCGCUUGUUCCCAAGAAGCUCUAGAAGGCAAGUUUCAACUCAAUAUCAGGUCCUUCCCAGGAGCUACAUCUGUCCACAGACCUGUUCCUUCUACAUCUGCUUAGUUCCCCAAGCCAGAAACCUGAAGUCACCUAAGCCUCUUCCUCCCGAUUCAUGUCCAGAGGACCAGUGACUCUUCCCUUCCCAGGGCUGUUUCACAUCUUCUGUCUCGUGGACGUGUGCUGAUGUCACCCUCCUGGCCACGCUCGCUGCUCCUGUCACUUGUCACCGCAUAGCCCUAGAUCUGCACCCGCCAGAGUUCUGUGGCUACAGGCCACAGAAACUAACUCCGGCUAACUUAAGCAGGAAAACAAUUCAUUGGAAGGUUAUCAGGCAUCUCAUGGAUUCGACGGCACUCCCUACCUUUUUUCCUGUGCUGGUGUGCCUUGAUUUUAUUCCUGAAAGUACCCGUCCUCUACCCAGGCCACAGGAGAGGAAUGCUGUGACUCAGGAGGCAGUGUCCCUGGCACUGGACUGAGCUUCCUGUCCUGGGGGCCUAGGAAACACCUUGAGCCCUGAAUUUCCUGAGCGAUAUCAAUGGAUUGCUCCUGGGUCUGCUCGCGGGCUCUGGUAACAUCUGGUACAAAUCCAUCCAGAGGCCUAUACUGGGUCUCCCCUCCUGGCCCUGGGAACCCCUCCACCCUGCACCAUGCAUAUACUGGAAAUGGGAUGGAUAUGAUGCUUCAGGUGAUCUGAGCCAGCCUCAUUCUCCUUUUCGCCUCUUACUCCAUCCUGGAAUCAUCUUCAAGCCUGCAAUCCUCAGGAAGCAACUUCUAUCUCGGGCGAUGUUACUUGCUCAAAGCUGACCACUGAGCUAGCCUUGGGAUUGGAGAUGAAUGAAGUAAGGGAGAACCUGCUUAUUCAAUGGGCAAGGAUCUAUUGAGCCUGUUGGGGUCACAAAGAUGAACAGUUCUGAUCUUUGCUCUCCAAGGUCUUACUCUGUAGAGGAAGAGACAGGAUGAAGAGGAGAGAGACUGAGGGGGAAGAGGAAUGAGCUGGAGUGGUUUCCUCUACACACGCAUGUGCAUCCUGAGUAGGGGACCUGCUGGAAUUCCGGAAGCGGCUGAAGUUCACCUGAAGGCCGCUCCCUUUGGUUGUGGAAGAGCCAGAGGCGGCUGAAAACAUCCAUGUGGGGGCGCCUGGCUGGCUCAGGAAGGAGGAGCCUGUGACUCUUGA
Long non-coding RNA from Hyaena hyaena (striped hyena), 1508 nucleotides. RefSeq lists it as uncharacterized. The transcript has 8 exons. NCBI's taxonomy places the organism in Eukaryota, Metazoa, Chordata, Mammalia, Carnivora, Hyaenidae. The record is from RefSeq and is a predicted model, not a curated record.